RNAcentral lists this ribosomal RNA (253 nucleotides) under uncultured bacterium. RNAcentral's name for it is "partial 16S ribosomal RNA". It matches the Rfam family "Bacterial small subunit ribosomal RNA", at positions 524 to 776 of the family's 1533-position model. The record is from RNAcentral.
UACGUAGGCAGCAAGCGUUGUUCGGAAUUACUGGGCGUAAAGAGCGUGUAGGCGGCCAGGUAGGUCAGCUGUGAAAACUCGAGGCUUAACCUCGAGAUGUCGGCUGAAACCAUCUGGCUAGAGUCCGGAAGAGGAGAGUGGAAUUCCUGGUGUAGCGGUGAAAUGCGCAGAUAUCAGGAAGAACACCCGUGGCGAAGGCGGCUCUCUGGUACGUGACUGACGCUGAGACGCGAAAGCGUGGGGAGCAAACAGG